This is a long non-coding RNA of Pistacia vera, 151 nucleotides long. RefSeq lists it as uncharacterized. The transcript is spliced from 3 exons. Lineage: Eukaryota; Viridiplantae; Streptophyta; Magnoliopsida; Sapindales; Anacardiaceae. The record is from RefSeq and is a predicted model, not a curated record.
CCACUUUGGAGGAUUUGCUGGCUUUUGGGCUGUUCCAUCUGAAUCAAAGGUUGCAAUGGUUGGAAGAUGGAAGGUGGGACCUGGAAAAUCCUUGUUUGAUGCCAUCUCCAGAGCUGUUGGAAAUAUGAACAUAAUAGCUGAAGAUUUGGUA